UACGUAGGCAGCGAGCGUUGUUCGGAAUUACUGGGCGUAAAGAGUGUGUAGGCGGUGCUCUAAGUUCGGUGUGAAAUCUCCUGGCUUAACUGGGAGGGUGCGCCGGAAACUGGGAUGCUCGAGCGUGGGAGAGGAAAGCGGAAUUCCUGGUGUAGCGGUGAAAUGCGUAGAUAUCAGGAGGAACACCUGUGGUGUAGACAGCUUUCUGGACCAUUGCUGACGCUGAGACACGAAAGCGUGGGUAGCAAACAGG
This 253-nucleotide ribosomal RNA is filed under the name uncultured bacterium. Its description in RNAcentral is "partial 16S ribosomal RNA". It matches the Rfam family "Bacterial small subunit ribosomal RNA", at positions 524 to 776 of the family's 1533-position model. The record is from RNAcentral.